This 371-nucleotide ribosomal RNA is filed under the name uncultured bacterium. RNAcentral describes it as "bacterial SSU rRNA". It matches the Rfam family "Bacterial small subunit ribosomal RNA", at positions 527 to 896 of the family's 1533-position model. The record is from RNAcentral.
GGAGAGUGCAAACGUUGUUCGGAUUCACUGGGCGUAAAGGGCACGUAGGCGGCUCGGCAAAUCGGUCGUGGAAUCCCGACGCUUACCGUCGGAACGGCGGCCGAAAAUACCGGGCUCGAGGGCGUGAGGGGUCACUGGAACUCCUGGUGAAGCGGUGAAAUGCGUAGAUAUCAGGAGGAACGCCGGUGGCGAAGGCGCCCACCUGGCCUGCUACUGACGCUGAAACUCGAAAGCUAGGGGAGCAAACGGGAUUAGAUACCCCGGUAGUCCUAGCCGUAAACGGUGAUCACUAGGUGUUGGGAGCAUCGACCCUUCCAGUGCCGCAGCUAACGCAUUAAGUGAUCCGCCUGGGGAGUACGGCCGCAAGGUUG